UACGUAGGUGGCAAGCGUUGUCCGGAAUUAUUGGGCGUAAAGCGCGCGCAGGCGGUCCUUUAAGUCUGAUGUGAAAGCCCCCGGCUCAACUGGGGAGGGUCACGCGAUACUGAUCGACUCGAAGGCAGGAGAGGGAAGUGGAAUUCCCGGUGUAGUGGUGAAAUGCGUAGAUAUCGGGAGGAACACCAGUGGCGAAGGCGACUUCCUGGCCUGUUCUUGACGCUGAGGCGCGAAAGCUAGGGGAGCAAACGGG
This 253-nucleotide ribosomal RNA is filed under the name uncultured bacterium. RNAcentral describes it as "partial 16S ribosomal RNA". It matches the Rfam family "Bacterial small subunit ribosomal RNA", at positions 524 to 776 of the family's 1533-position model. The record is from RNAcentral.